Carlito syrichta (Philippine tarsier) is the source of this 1388-nucleotide RNA transcript. It is a transcript of the gene named elongation factor 1-alpha 1 pseudogene, with no coding region annotated. Lineage: Eukaryota; Metazoa; Chordata; Mammalia; Primates; Tarsiidae. The record is from RefSeq and is a predicted model, not a curated record. The transcript has 3 exons.
AUGAAAACUCCAAAACGGGAAAAGGAAAGACUCACUCAACAUACCGUCAUUGGACAGGUAGAUUUGGGCAAGUCUACCACUAUAGCCAUCUGAUCUAUAAACAUGGUGGCAUCAAAAAAAGAACCACUGAGAAAAUUGAGGACACUGCUAAGACGGGAAAGGGCUCCUUCAAGUAUGCCUGGGUCUUGGAUAAACUGAAAGUGGAGCAUGAACGUGGUAUCACCAUUGAUAUCUCCCUGUGGAAAUUUGAGGCCAGCAAGUACUACGUCACUAUCAUUGAUGCCCCAGGACACAGAGACUUCAUCAAUAACAUAAUUACAGGCUCAUCUCAGGCUGACUGUGCUGUCCUGAUUGUUGCUGCUGGUGUUGGUGAAUCUGAAGCUGGUAUCUCCAAGAAUGGGCAAAUCCAUGAGCACGCCAGCCCUUCUGGCUUACACACUGAGUGUGAAACAGCUAAUUGGUUGGUGAAAACAAAAUGGAUUCCACAAAGCCAGCCUACAGUCAGAAUAGAUAUGAAAACAUUGUUAAGAAAAAAGUCAGCACUUAUACUAAGAAAAUUGGCUACAACCCUCACACAGUUGCAUCUGUGCCAAUUUCAAGUUAGAAUGGUGACAAACAUGCUGGAGCCAAGUGCUAACAUGCUUUGGUUCAAGGGAUGGAAGGCCACCCAUAAGGAUGGCAAAACCAGUGGAACCACACUGCUUAAAUCACUGGACUGCAAUCUACCACCAACUCUGCCAACAGAAAAGCUCAUGCAUCUGUCUCUCCAGGAUGUCUGGUGGUAUUUGUACUGACUCUGUGGGUCAAGUGGAGACUGGUGUUUUCAAAUCUGGCAUGGCAGUCACCUUGCUCCAGUCAACGUUACAAGUGAAGUAAAGUCUGUUGAAUGUACCAUGAAGCUUUGAGUGAAGCUCUUCCCGGGGACAAUGGAGUUUCAAUGUCAAGAAUGUAACUGCCAAAGAUGUUUGUUGUGACAAGCAUUGUUGGUGACAAUAAAAAUGAUUCACCAAUGGAAGCAGCUGGCUUCAUUGCUCAGAUGAUUAUCUUGAACCAUCCAGGCCAAAUCAGUGCUGGCUGUGCCCCUAUACUGAACUGUCACACAGCUCACAUUGCAUACAAUUUUGCUGAGCUAAAGGAAAAGAUUGCCGUUCUGGAAAGAAGCUGGAAGAUGGCCCUAAAUUCUUGAAGUCAGAUGAUGCUGCCAUCAUUGAUAUAGUUCCUGGCAAGUACAUGUGUGUGGAGAGUUUCUCUGACUAUCCUCUGAAUUGUUUUGCUGUCCGUGAUAUGAAGCAGAUAAUUGCUGUGGUGUCAUCAAAGCAGUGGACAAGGCGGCUGCUGGAGCUGGCAAGGUCACUAAAUCUACCCAGAAAGCUCGAAAGGCAAAAUGA